This 918-nucleotide ribosomal RNA is filed under the name uncultured bacterium. RNAcentral describes it as "bacterial SSU rRNA". It matches the Rfam family "Bacterial small subunit ribosomal RNA", at positions 8 to 916 of the family's 1533-position model. The record is from RNAcentral.
AGAGUUUGAUCCUGGCUCAGGAUGAACGCUAGCUACAGGCUUAACACAUGCAAGUCGAGGGGAAACGACAUCGAAAGCUUGCUUUUGAUGGGCGUCGACCGGCGCACGGGUGAGUAACGCGUAUCCAACCUGCCCACCACUUGGGGAUAACCUUGCGAAAGUAAGACUAAUACCCAAUGAUAUCUCUAGAAGACAUCUGAAAGAGAUUAAAGAUUUAUCGGUGAUGGAUGGGGAUGCGUCUGAUUAGCUUGUUGGCGGGGUAACGGCCCACCAAGGCUACGAUCAGUAGGGGUUCUGAGAGGAAGGUCCCCCACAUUGGAACUGAGACACGGUCCAAACUCCUACGGGAGGCAGCAGUGAGGAAUAUUGGUCAAUGGACGAGAGUCUGAACCAGCCAAGUAGCGUGCAGGAUGACGGCCCUAUGGGUUGUAAACUGCUUUUAUAAGGGAAUAAAGUGAGUCUCGUGAGACUUUUUGCAUGUACCUUAUGAAUAAGGACCGGCUAAUUCCGUGCCAGCAGCCGCGGUAAUACGGAAGGUCCGGGCGUUAUCCGGAUUUAUUGGGUUUAAAGGGAGCGUAGGCCGGAGAUUAAGCGUGUUGUGAAAUGUAGACGCUCAACGUCUGCACUGCAGCGCGAACUGGUUUCCUUGAGUACGCACAAAGUGGGCGGAAUUCGUGGUGUAGCGGUGAAAUGCUUAGAUAUCACGAAGAACUCCGAUUGCGAAGGCAGCUCACUGGAGCGCAACUGACGCUGAAGCUCGAAAGUGCGGGUAUCGAACAGGAUUAGAUACCCUGGUAGUCCGCACGGUAAACGAUGGAUGCCCGCUGUUGGUCUGAAUAGGUCAGCGGCCAAGCGAAAGCAUUAAGCAUCCCACCUGGGGAGUACGCCGGCAACGGUGAAACUCAAAUGAAUUGACGG